CGAACGCUGGCGGCGUGCUUACCACAUGCAAGUCGAACGGCAAGGCCCUGCUUGCAGGGUACUCGAGUGGCGAACGGGUGAGUAACACGUGGGUGAUCUGCCCUGCACUUCGGGAUAAGCUUGGGAAACUGGGUCUAAUACCGGAUAGGAGCCAUCUUUAGUGUGGUGGUUGGAAAGUUUUUUCGGUGUAGGAUGAGCUCGCGGCCUAUCAGCUUGUUGGUGGGGUAAUGGCCUACCAAGGCGGCGACGGGUAGCCGGCCUGAGAGGGUGUACGGCCACAUUGGGACUGAGAUACGGCCCAGACUCCUACGGGAGGCAGCAGUGGGGAAUAUUGCACAAUGGGCGCAAGCCUGAUGCAGCGACGCCGCGUGGGGGAUGAAGGCCUUCGGGUUGUAAACUCCUUUCGCUAGGGACGAAGCUUUUUUGUGACGGUACCUAGAUAAGAAGCACCGGCUAACUACGUG
Molecule: ribosomal RNA, 464 nt
Filed under: uncultured bacterium
Lineage: Bacteria
Description: partial 16S ribosomal RNA
Rfam family: Bacterial small subunit ribosomal RNA
Source: RNAcentral